GGUAUAGCCCAGUGGUACAGCGCCUGCCUGGAAAGCAUAAAGUCCUGGGUUUGAUUCCCAAUAUC
This is a transfer RNA of Cavia porcellus (domestic guinea pig), 65 nucleotides long. It matches the Rfam family "tRNA". Rfam says of the family: Transfer RNA (tRNA) molecules are approximately 80 nucleotides in length. Their secondary structure includes four short double-helical elements and three loops (D, anti-codon, and T loops). NCBI's taxonomy places the organism in Eukaryota, Metazoa, Chordata, Mammalia, Rodentia, Caviidae. The record is from Rfam.